AUAUCAAUAAGCGGGGAAAAGAAACUAAAAGGGAUUCCCCUAGUAACUGCGAGUGAAGCGGGAAAAGCUCAAAUUUAAAAUCUGGCGGUCUCCGGCUGUCCGAGUUGUAAUCUAGAGAAGUGUUAUCCGCGCUGGACCGUGUACAAGUCUCCUGGAAUGGAGCAUCAUAGAGGGUGAGAAUCCCGUCUUUGACACGGACUGCCAGGGCUUUGUGAUGCGCUCUCAAAGAGUCGAGUUGUUUGGGAAUGCAGCUCAAAAUGGGUGGUAAAUUCCAUCUAAAGCUAAAUAUUGGCGAGAGACCGAUAGCGAACAAGUACCGUGAGGGAAAGAUGAAAAGAACUUUGGAAAGAGAGUUAAACAGUACGUGAAAUUGCUGAAAGGGAAACGCUUGAAGUCAGUCGCGUUGGCCGGGGAUCAACCUUGCUUUUGCUGGGCGUACUUUCCGGUUGAUGGGUCAGCAUCAAUUUUGACCGUUGGAUAAAGUCCAGGGGAAUGUGGCAUCUUCGGAUGUGUUAUAGCCCUUGGUCGCAUACAACGGUUGGGAUUGAGGAACUCAGCACGCCGCAAGGCCGGGUACUUGUACCACGUUCGUGCUUAGGAUGCUGGCAUAAUGGCUUUAAUCGACCCGUCUUGAAACACGGACCAAGGAGUCUAACAUGCCUGCGAGUGUUUGGGUGGAAAACUCGGACGCGUAAUGAAAGUGAAAGUUGAGAUCCCUGUCGUGGGGAGCAUCGACGCCCGGACCAGACCUUUUGUGACGGAUCCGCGGUAGAGCAUGUAUGUUGGGACCCGAAAGAUGGUGAACUAUGCCUGAAUAGGGUGAAGCCAGAGGAAACUCUGGUGGAGGCUCGUAGCGAUUCUGACGUGCAAAUCGAUCGUCAAAUUUGGGUAUAGGGGCGAAAGACUAAUCGAACCAUCUAGUAGCU
RNAcentral lists this ribosomal RNA (926 nucleotides) under Hebeloma victoriense. RNAcentral describes it as "partial large subunit ribosomal RNA". It matches the Rfam family "Eukaryotic large subunit ribosomal RNA", at positions 40 to 952 of the family's 3401-position model. Lineage: Eukaryota; Fungi; Basidiomycota; Agaricomycetes; Agaricales; Hymenogastraceae. The record is from RNAcentral.